This 158-nucleotide ribosomal RNA is filed under the name Inocybe fibrosoides. Its description in RNAcentral is "5.8S ribosomal RNA". It matches the Rfam family "5.8S ribosomal RNA". From Rfam's summary of the family: 5.8S ribosomal RNA (5.8S rRNA) is a component of the large subunit of the eukaryotic ribosome. It is transcribed by RNA polymerase I as part of the 45S precursor that also contains 18S and 28S rRNA. RNAcentral also lists the same sequence under 2 other names. The record is from RNAcentral. Lineage: Eukaryota; Fungi; Basidiomycota; Agaricomycetes; Agaricales; Inocybaceae.
CAACUUUCAGCAAUGGAUCUCUUGGCUCUCGCAUCGAUGAAGAACGCAGCGAAAUGCGAUAAGUAAUGUGAAUUGCAGAAUUCAGUGAAUCAUCGAAUCUUUGAACGCAUCUUGCGCUCCUUGGUAUUCUGAGGAGCAUGCCUGUUUGAGUGUCAUCA